GACGAACGCUGGCGGCGUGCUUAACACAUGCAAGUCGAACGAUGAAGCCUAGCUUGCUGGGUGGAUUAGUGGCGAACGGGUGAGUAACACGUGAGUAACCUGCCCUUGGCUCUGGGAUAAGCGCUGGAAACGGUGUCUAAUACUGGAUAUGACUUCCUGCCGCAUGGUGGGGGGUGGAAAGCUUUUUUGCGGCUUUGGAUGGACUCGCGGCCUAUCAGCUUGUUGGUGAGGUAGUGGCUCACCAAGGCGACGACGGGUAGCCGGCCUGAGAGGGUGACCGGCCACACUGGGACUGAGACACGGCCCAGACUCCUACGGGAGGCAGCAGUGGGGAAUAUUGCACAAUGGGCGAAAGCCUGAUGCAGCAACGCCGCGUGGGGGAUGACGGCCUUCGGGUUGUAAACCUCUUUUGGUAGGGAAGAAGCCUUCGGGUGACGGUACCUGCAGAAAAAGGACCGGCUAACUACGUGCCAGCCGCCGCCGUAAGAC
Molecule: ribosomal RNA, 489 nt
Filed under: uncultured bacterium
Lineage: Bacteria
Description: bacterial SSU rRNA
Rfam family: Bacterial small subunit ribosomal RNA
Source: RNAcentral